AUUGAACGCUGGCGGCAGGCCUAACACAUGCAAGUCGAGCGGAUGAAGGAAGCUUGCUCCUGGAUUCAGCGGCGGACGGGUGAGUAAUGCCUAGGAAUCUGCCUGGUAGUGGGGGAUAACGUCCGGAAACGGGCGCUAAUACCGCAUACGUCCCGAGGGAGAAAGUGGGGGAUCUUCGGACCUCACGCUAUCAGAUGAGCCUAGGUCGGAUUAGCUAGUUGGUGGGGUAAAGGCCUACCAAGGCGACGAUCCGUAACUGGUCUGAGAGGAUGAUCAGUCACACUGGAACUGAGACACGGUCCAGACUCCUACGGGAGGCAGCAGUGGGGAAUAUUGGACAAUGGGCGAAAGCCUGAUCCAGCCAUGCCGCGUGUGUGAAGAAGGUCUUCGGAUUGUAAAGCACUUUAAGUUGGGAGGAAGGGCAGUAAGUUAAUACCUUGCUGUUUUGACGUUACCAACAGAAUAAGCACCGGCUAACUUCGUG
Molecule: ribosomal RNA, 484 nt
Filed under: uncultured bacterium
Lineage: Bacteria
Description: partial 16S ribosomal RNA
Rfam family: Bacterial small subunit ribosomal RNA
Source: RNAcentral